AUUGUUGCGAGUUUGAAAUCCAACCAGUCAAGUAAUGUUCAAAAGUCUAAAAAGAUUUUGUUUUAUUCAUGUAUUGUGCAAAAUCUACUCAAUCAUGGUUAAGUCAUAUUAUGCCAUGUUUCCUUGAUUGGCAUGUUGUGAAUAAUAUCAUCUCUAUUUCAUUCUUAUUGAAUGAAUAUAUCAGUGUUUAUUCCUUUAUUCAUGAUAGUUGCAUUGAGCCUUAUUUCAGUCUUUAGUUUGCUUGUCAUGCAUCUUGUACUUGUCUUGUAUCAGGCUGUCAAAAAGCAAGAUGUCCUACCUUCACCUGUUCUAUGGCAUGAGAAAUCGUCCCUUCUUGGACGCAUAGUUCCUAAAAGGCCACCCAUCCCCGAGUCUGUCUCUGGUCAUUCUCUUGCAAAAUUGGCUCAUUAGCUUGCUUGUAACUAUUAUCUUGCAAAGCAACCAGUAAGCCACAGAUGCAUGAAAGUUGUCAACCAUGGAGGUGUGGAUGUUCUGACUUGCCAAUCAAACUUGAAGGCGGCAGUUUGUGGGAAGGAACUGGAUGGAGGCAGUGAAAAUUACAUUACUACUGAAUCUAGAAAAAUGAAACGGAACAGAGGUAGUCAUCGGAGUAAUAAACUCGGCAACCAAAUAGGUGUGGAUGAUCCGACCUGCCAGUCAAACUUGAAAGCAACAGUUUGUGGGAAGGAACUAAAUGGAGGCAGUGAAACCUGCACUGCUAUUGAUUAUAAAAAAAGGAAACGGAACAGAGAUCGCCGACUUCGCCGAAUCAAUAAGCGAAAGUUAAUGUCGACGACAAAUUUAGAAGUAAAAAGAGAACUUAAUGGUAGCUCAAAUAAUGAAUCAUUGACAAAUUAGAUAAUCUCUUAAUAGUUGUCGAUAUGUUUAGAAAAUUAGAUAUGCAUAGUUUUGGAUGGUUUAAACUCUUUGUACAGUUUAGAACUUAUAGUUUUCGAAUGUUUGGAAUGUGAAGACAAUUGUUGAAAGUUUAUAAUUUA
This is a non-coding RNA of Camellia sinensis, 998 nucleotides long. NCBI's taxonomy places the organism in Eukaryota, Viridiplantae, Streptophyta, Magnoliopsida, Ericales, Theaceae. The record is from RefSeq and is a predicted model, not a curated record.